RNAcentral lists this ribosomal RNA (467 nucleotides) under uncultured bacterium. Its description in RNAcentral is "partial 16S ribosomal RNA". It matches the Rfam family "Bacterial small subunit ribosomal RNA", at positions 29 to 507 of the family's 1533-position model. The record is from RNAcentral.
ACGCACGCUGGCGGCGUGCUUCACCCCUGCCAGUCGCACGGAAAGGCCCUGCUUUUGUGGGGUGCUCGAGUGGCGAACGGGUGAGUAACACGUGAGUAACCUGCCCUUGACUUUGGGAUAACUUCAGGAAACUGGGGCUAAUACCGGAUAGGAGCUCCUGCUGCCUGGUGGGGGUUGGAAAGUUUCGGCGGUUGGGGAUGGACUCGCGGCUUAUCAGCUUGUUGGUGGGGUAGUGGCUUACCAAGGCUUUGACGGGUAGCCGGCCUGAGAGGGUGGCCGGCCACAUUGGGACUGAGAUACGGACCAGACUCCUACGGGAGGCAGCAGUGGGGAAUAUUGCACAAUGGGCGGAAGCCUGAUGCAGCAACGCCGCGUGCGGGAUGACGGCCUUCGGGUUGUAAACCGCUUUCGCCUGUGACGAAGCGUGAGUGACGGUAAUGGGUAAAGAAGCACCGGCUAACUACGUG